CCGGCCGCCGGCUCCGCCCCG
RNAcentral lists this microRNA (21 nucleotides) under Homo sapiens (human). RNAcentral's name for it is "hsa-miR-1908-3p". The record is from miRBase by way of RNAcentral. Lineage: Eukaryota; Metazoa; Chordata; Mammalia; Primates; Hominidae.